RNAcentral lists this small RNA (113 nucleotides) under Paenibacillus sp. RNAcentral describes it as "Guanidine-I sequence". It matches the Rfam family "Guanidine-I riboswitch aptamer". Rfam says of the family: This family represents a conserved RNA structure found upstream of the ykkC and yxkD genes in Bacillus subtilis and related genes in other bacteria. The function of this family is unclear although it has been suggested that it may function to switch on efflux pumps and detoxification systems in response to harmful environmental molecules. Nelson showed that this riboswitch senses and responds to guanidine and it was renamed Guanidine-I riboswitch. Lineage: Bacteria; Bacillati; Bacillota; Bacilli; Caryophanales; Paenibacillaceae. The record is from RNAcentral.
UUAUUUGUUCUCUAGGGUUCCGCAGCUGUUGUGCGAUGCUGGUCUGGUCCGAGGGAGAACGCACGGAGUGAACCAUGGCCGUGUAUACACGGAGGGAUAAAAGCCCGGGAGGU